This 507-nucleotide non-coding RNA is filed under the name Vibrio metschnikovii CIP 69.14. RNAcentral describes it as "bacterial LSU rRNA". It matches the Rfam family "Bacterial large subunit ribosomal RNA", at positions 2424 to 2925 of the family's 2925-position model. Lineage: Bacteria; Pseudomonadati; Pseudomonadota; Gammaproteobacteria; Vibrionales; Vibrionaceae. The record is from RNAcentral.
UGGUUCUGAAUGGAAGGGCCAUCGCUCAACGGAUAAAAGGUACUCCGGGGAUAACAGGCUGAUACCGCCCAAGAGUUCAUAUCGACGGCGGUGUUUGGCACCUCGAUGUCGGCUCAUCACAUCCUGGGGCUGAAGUCGGUCCCAAGGGUAUGGCUGUUCGCCAUUUAAAGUGGUACGCGAGCUGGGUUUAGAACGUCGUGAGACAGUUCGGUCCCUAUCUGCCGUGGGCGUUGGAGAAUUGAAGGGGGCUGCUCCUAGUACGAGAGGACCGGAGUGGACGAACCUCUGGUGUUCGGGUUGUCACGCCAGUGGCAUUGCCCGGUAGCUAAGUUCGGAAUUGAUAAGCGCUGAAAGCAUCUAAGCGCGAAGCGAGCCCUGAGAUGAGUUCUCCCUGGCACUAUAAGUGUCCUAAAGGGUUGUUCGAGACUAGAACGUUGAUAGGCAGGGUGUGUAAGCGCUGUGAGGCGUUGAGCUAACCUGUACUAAUUGCCCGUGAGGCUUAACCAU